RNAcentral lists this ribosomal RNA (253 nucleotides) under uncultured bacterium. RNAcentral's name for it is "partial 16S ribosomal RNA". It matches the Rfam family "Bacterial small subunit ribosomal RNA", at positions 524 to 776 of the family's 1533-position model. The record is from RNAcentral.
UACAGAGGGUGCGAGCGUUGUCCGGAAUCACUGGGCGUAAGGGGCGCGUAGGCGGCCUGAUAAGUAGGGGGUGAAAUCCUGUGGCUUAACUGCAGGGCUGCCUCCUAGACUGUUAGGCUCGAGCACGGUAGAGGCAGAUGGAAUUCCCGGUGUAGCGGUGGAAUGCGUAGAGAUCGGGAAGAACAUCGGUGGCGAAGGCGGUCUGCUGGGCCGUUGCUGACGCUGAGGCGCGACAGCGUGGGGAGCAAACAGG